UACAAUGGAGAGUUUGAUCCUGGCUCAGGAUGAACGCUAGCGGGAGGCUUAAUACAUGCAAGUCGAGGGGUAACAGGGGGCUUCGGCCCUGCUGACGACCGGCGCACGGGUGAGUAACGCGUACACAACCUACCCUUAACAGGAGGACAGCCCUGGGAAACUGGGAUUAAUACUCCAUAAUAUUAUCCAGAUCGUAGAUAGGAUAAUUAAAGCUGAGGCGGUUAAGGCUGGGUGUGCGUUCCAUUAGGUAGUUGGUGAGGUAACGGCUCACCAAGCCGACGAUGGAUAGGGGGCGUGAGAGCGUGACCCCCCACACGGGUACUGAGACACGGACCCGACUCCUACGGGAGGCAGCAGUAAGGAAUAUUGGACAAUGGGCGCAAGCCUGAUCCAGCCAUCCCGCGUGCAGGAUG
Molecule: ribosomal RNA, 413 nt
Filed under: Flavobacteriales bacterium
Lineage: Bacteria; Pseudomonadati; Bacteroidota; Flavobacteriia; Flavobacteriales
Description: bacterial SSU rRNA
Rfam family: Bacterial small subunit ribosomal RNA
Source: RNAcentral